CCCUGUGUAGAACCUCCCUCCACCUCUCUGAAGUGGAGAAGAGAGUCCCAUGAGCCUGUAGCAGUCUAACAAGAGCUGGUGAGAAGAGUGAGGGGCUUCUACAGGAAGAAGACUUAAGUUUAGCAACUUCCUCAUCUCUUUGCUUACUUUGAGCUGGUUUCUGCUGCCAGAGGCUCAAACUCACUCAGCCGUUUUAGAGUGGAUCCUCUAUUAAGCCACGGCUGAUAUUUACACAUAUUUUCCCUUUUUAAAACAUGCAUCAGUUAUAUUUUUGGUGAGCACCCUAUGUGUGUGGGAAGGAUGCCUUCUGGAAGAAAGUUCCUCUACUUCAAGGGACCUUCAUUUUUAUCCAUGACUUUGGUAGUCCUGCAUUUUAAUGCCACCAAGAAUCUGAAUCCUCCAGCAGCUGUUUAGAAAAUGUAAGACACGAAGUCACCUAGGUGGGCCUGCUAACAAUUGCUAUUUUCAUCUAGCAAGAAUAGACUUCAGUUCUUC
This 495-nucleotide long non-coding RNA is filed under the name Monodelphis domestica (gray short-tailed opossum). Its description in RNAcentral is "lncRNA (ENSMODG00000044276.1)". The record is from RNAcentral. Lineage: Eukaryota; Metazoa; Chordata; Mammalia; Didelphimorphia; Didelphidae.